RNAcentral lists this ribosomal RNA (253 nucleotides) under uncultured bacterium. Its description in RNAcentral is "partial 16S ribosomal RNA". It matches the Rfam family "Bacterial small subunit ribosomal RNA", at positions 524 to 776 of the family's 1533-position model. The record is from RNAcentral.
UACGAGGGGGGCGAGCGUUGUUCGGAAUUAUUGGGCGUAAAGGGUGCGUAGGCGGUUUGGUAAGUCUUGUGUGAAAUCUCCAGGCUCAACUUGGAGUCUGCACGAGAAACUGCCGGGCUUGAGUGUGGGAGAGGUGAGUGGAAUUCCUGGUGUAGCGGUGAAAUGCGUAGAUAUCAAGUGGAACACCAGUGGCGAAGGCGAGUCCCUGGACAACUCCUGACACUGAGGCACGAAAGCUAGGGGAGCAAACAGG